Molecule: long non-coding RNA, 1400 nt
Organism: Gasterosteus aculeatus aculeatus (three-spined stickleback)
Lineage: Eukaryota; Metazoa; Chordata; Actinopteri; Perciformes; Gasterosteidae
Source: Ensembl
GCGAUUGACUGGCAACCAGUCAAGGGUGUAACUCGCCUCGCGCCCGAUUUUGGCUGGGAUUGACUUCAAUCUUUUUGGAUUGUGUGGGGAAGCCGGAGUACCUGGAGAACCCACACAGACACCGGGGGAACAUGCAAACAUCACACCCAGGACCUUCUUGCUGUGAGGCGACACCACCACAACACCCCAACACCACAGUGCCAACUGGUCUUCAAUUGGUUCAAUCCAUUGGGACCCAAAUGAAGAUGGAAUGAGGAAUCCAGACGAAGGAGGCAGGAGUAAAGCAGGACCCCUUUGGGCUUACCAAACAGCCCAGGAAUGCGGUGGUAAAAAACGCGUUGCACGGGAUGUCCCGUGUGAGCGGGUUUAGAUGAUAAACACUCCUUUCUUUCCGACUUUAAUAACAACGAUACACUGCGGAGCCACACACAAGCAACCACUUGUUAUAGGAAAUACUGAUGAUCCAAUACACCCCUGCACACACACACAAGGACACACAAGGGUACACACUUUGUGUCCGGUGGAAAUAAACUGCGAUGGUAACGUUGACUGCUGUGAAAUGACUAAUAUUUCAUGACAUAAUGUCGUUUGGAAAAAGACAAUAACGGUAUUUAAACUAAAUAAGUGUAGACAGCACUUUCCUUAUUGAACUGGCCAAAUAUUCCUUUUUCUAUAAAUAUACAUACAAUCAUUGCACACUAAAGUUCCCUGCCCGUACCACUGCUACCUCCGCCACACAGCGCCAUCCCAUAUCCCCCACCCUAUCUUGCCACUCCACAUCUGGACAGUGGUUUCCGGUGCAUUCCGCAGGGUCUCGUACCUCUCAAUUGCUCUAUUCACAUCCCCUCACCGCCCUGCGUGAAAUGCACCUUACAUAUGUGUGAAAAAAAUUCCCAGCCCUCCAAAUGUUAUUCCAUGUUUUGACCUGUUUAAAAAAGAAAAAUUUGAAACUCUAAGCAGCUGGCCACCUAAUGCACAGCGGCACAGAACUGCUAUAAGGAUGUUAAUAUAGUCGGGUAUCCUUAACCAGGCCUACUCCCUAAUGCAUGCCAUCUGGACUGGAAAUAAAGUACUGCUAGUCACUCUUCAUAGAGUUUGAACCUAGAUCUGUUACAGCUAAUUUUAGGGGGAGCCUUGGGGUUUUUCAGACAUUUGAAAGAUUUUUUUUAUUUGAAACAUAAGACCCUCCAGCAACAGCGCCCUGUUUACAGAAGCUCUCAGAUCUGAACAUGUUGAAACUGAAGGUUCUGUAUUUGUUCUUGUGGUUUGUUUCAUUGCCACAAUAGCAGUCUUUUUUGAGUUGUCAUAAAUUGGCCAAUUGCUCAAACUCAGACAAGAAGAAAUAAUUCAGGGAAAUAAGAAGAAACCUGCUUUUUGCCUCAGAUUCAGGAAAGCCUUAA